Molecule: transfer RNA, 76 nt
Filed under: Vulcanimicrobiota bacterium
Lineage: Bacteria; Bacillati; Vulcanimicrobiota
Description: tRNA-Thr
Rfam family: tRNA
About the family: Transfer RNA (tRNA) molecules are approximately 80 nucleotides in length. Their secondary structure includes four short double-helical elements and three loops (D, anti-codon, and T loops). Further hydrogen bonds mediate the characteristic L-shaped molecular structure. tRNAs have two regions of fundamental functional importance: the anti-codon, which is responsible for specific mRNA codon recognition, and the 3' end, to which the tRNAs corresponding amino acid is attached (by aminoacyl-tRNA synthetases). tRNAs cope with the degeneracy of the genetic code in two manners: having more than one tRNA (with a specific anti-codon) for a particular amino acid; and 'wobble' base-pairing, i.e. permitting non-standard base-pairing at the 3rd anti-codon position.
Source: RNAcentral
GCCGACGUAGCUCAGUUGGUAGAGCGCCACCCUUGUAAUGUGGAUGUCGCCGGUUCAACUCCGGCCGUCGGCUCCA